This 222-nucleotide long non-coding RNA is filed under the name Phoenix dactylifera (date palm). RNAcentral describes it as "long non-coding RNA (PDAC_LNC013857)". The record is from RNAcentral. Lineage: Eukaryota; Viridiplantae; Streptophyta; Magnoliopsida; Arecales; Arecaceae.
GGAUGCAUAUCGGAGCAAUCAACCAAGGCAUCAAAAUUAGUUCUGUUUUUCUUAAAUUAAGACUUUAUUUAGAAAUUAUAUUGAGUUUAAGCUUUUAUACAAAAUCAGAUUCUGAAUUUCAUAAAGAUUUUCAAUAGAAGCUUUCAAAGUCAUAAUUUGAGAUAUGUAUCUUCCACAUUGUAGCUCAUCUUAAAUCAUUACGAUUGAAAACACAUAUUUCAA